UCUGUGUGCCGGUAGAAGGCACAUGAGCCUAGAGGUGAGAGUAGAGUUGUAUCUGCAGUGUGGGAUGCCGGGGAUGAAUAGCGCUAGAUGAGGUUGGAGAGGAGGACAGAGCUACAUCCCACAAACUCCAUAUUGACUCCAGAAGAAGGAGAUGAAGAAGCCUAGAUUCCAUAAUGCGGGAGUCCCAGAUCCUCAAAGUACGAUGAUUCGCCAAAUCAAGAAAUGAGGAUUAGGAAGCAGUCACCCUCGAAAGGAACUAAAUCAUCACCUUGGGAAUUGUGGCCAGUCAUGAGACAUGCAUGAGGAGACUGAAGGGGUACGUGCCUCUCAUUCCUGCUGGAACCUGGAUUCACUCAUCCACGUAUUCAGAAUGUGAGGAGAAACCAUUCUAUACCCAAUCCUCAAGUAGACAUGGAUGAUACAAAGAUUAUUUUAAAAACACAAGUUCCCGCUCUGAAGUGGUCAUCUAAGUCAUCAUAAAUCCCUGAUCAGAAGCUUGCAGAAAACAGAGACACCCCCGAAAGAAGGCAGGGUUGGCCAGCAAGUCCAGAAUAUGUGAGACUUGGAGUCCAAUGAAAUUUUUUUUCAUAUUUUGCAAUGAUAAGCUAAUGAGCCAAAGUAAGCAGGUCAUGGCACCCCCAAAAAGCUUUUCACAGUUUGCUUCUCUUGAGGAGAUUGAUUUUAAAUGUGAUGUUCAGCAUCUACCUCCAGCGAUGGAAAUGAAAGGUGGCAGCCCCAAGAGAGCCAGGAUCAAACACUGGCCUGGCCUUGCUCAUGUGGAUGCUGGGCAUUCCCUAUUCUCCAACAAGACCAGCUCUUUGGAUGCUCACCAAAAAGUCAGCUCCCUCUCCCUCUCCAAAUUUAUUUCACUCAGGCUGGUUGCACCUGAAAUAAUAAACUCUGAGGUUACAUGUCCCAAAUCACCUGUCUUCUCCAUUUCCCUCCCGCCUUGUGGCAGCCCACACUCAGUGUGAGUUCUUUAGAGAGGCAUUUGUAAACUGGGAGCAGUCUGUGUAUCGCAGGCCUGCUAUGGAGAAGUGAUCUAGCCCCUCUGAGUUUCAUUUUCCUCCUCUGUGGAAUAGGACUGAUAGGAUUGUCAAGAGGAUUAAAUUCUCCCCACUCAUCCCCAAUGGGGUAGCUCCUCCUUUUAUUAAGAUUUCAGCUUAAAUAUACUGCCUUCAGAGACCACCCAAUCUCUUUCUAUCAUGUUGCCCUAUUUCAGUUUUCUACAUAGCACUUACUAUCUUUGUUUGUUUGUUCAUAAGCUCAUUGAUUGUCUCAGACUGGAAGCCUUCAGAAAGCAGGAACUCUGUGUAACUUGUUCACUGCUGUAUCUUUAGCAUGGAGAAUAAUGCCUGGCACAUAGUAGGCUCUCAGUAAAUUUUUAUUGACUCAUAUGUGCAAAGGACCUAGUACGGUGCCAGGUACUCAAUAGGUGCUCAAUAAAUGAUAAUCAUAAUUAUUAUUUAUAAUUAUUUUUUGAGACAACACAGGAUUUUGAUUCAGAGAAUCUUACUAUAUUUAUGAAAGCGGUGAUAGGGGCCUCAUGUGAGAGGUGCCAUGACUAAUGAGGCUGGUUACUGAUUGGGGGUCAGGGAGGUGCCAGGGCAAAACAUUUUUGUUGUUAUUUCUAGUACUUCUAGUAUCAAAU
This 1651-nucleotide long non-coding RNA is filed under the name Homo sapiens (human). RNAcentral's name for it is "HSALNT0055734". The record is from RNAcentral. Lineage: Eukaryota; Metazoa; Chordata; Mammalia; Primates; Hominidae.